UACGUAGGGGGCAAGCGUUGUCCGGAAUCAUUGGGCGUAAAGCGCGUGUAGGUGGUCCGAUCAGUCGGCUGUGAAAGUCCAGGGCUCAACCCUGGGAUGCCGGUCGAUACUGUCGGGCUAGAGUCCGGAAGAGGCGAGUGGAAUUCCCGGUGUAGCGGUGAAAUGCGCAGAUAUCGGGAGGAACACCAAUGGCGAAGGCAGCUCGCUGGGACGGUACUGACGCUGAGACGCGAAAGCGUGGGGAGCAAACAGG
Molecule: ribosomal RNA, 253 nt
Filed under: uncultured bacterium
Lineage: Bacteria
Description: partial 16S ribosomal RNA
Rfam family: Bacterial small subunit ribosomal RNA
Source: RNAcentral